AUUCAGGUGACGAGUCCCGAAUAAGACGAAACGCUCAUCCUAAAU
RNAcentral lists this non-coding RNA (45 nucleotides) under Schistosoma mansoni. Lineage: Eukaryota; Metazoa; Platyhelminthes; Trematoda; Strigeidida; Schistosomatidae. The record is from RNAcentral.